RNAcentral lists this transfer RNA (84 nucleotides) under Epicoccum nigrum. RNAcentral describes it as "partial tRNA-Val". The record is from RNAcentral. Lineage: Eukaryota; Fungi; Ascomycota; Dothideomycetes; Pleosporales; Didymellaceae.
GGUUUUGUGGUGUAGUUGGUUAUCACGUUCGCCUCACAUUUCCGUGUCCGCGAAAGGUCCCGAGUUCGAACCUCGGCGAAAUCA